CAGGUGGUCUCCUCAUGAGCUUCUCAAGGUUAUCAAACUCUGAUCUUCUAUUGAAGAGCAACAUCUUCCAUUUGUUGGGAGCUUUAGUUCUGCUGUCUUCCUUACUAUAGUGUUCUGUAAAGAGCUUGAAGAUACUGUGUAUCCCUGGAAGCAGAAUCCAGACCUGACCCAAAGGCUGCAUUGUAAUCUCUUGGCUGCUCUUCCCUUGUCUCUACAUCCCUUCCCUUCCCUGAUUAGCAACUGUUUGAAAGACUUCCACGGCCAGGAGCCCUAUGGGGUCCUGUUGGAUUUCACCAAUCCACCAAAGGAAGAAAUAAAGGUGCUUGUCUAUGAAAUGUUC
Molecule: long non-coding RNA, 340 nt
Organism: Bubalus bubalis (water buffalo)
Lineage: Eukaryota; Metazoa; Chordata; Mammalia; Artiodactyla; Bovidae
Exons: 2
Source: RefSeq, a predicted model, not a curated record